CAAAGAUAUCACCGCAUAAACAUUCUUAAGGAACUUUAGUAUGAAAUAAGACAAAAGACAAGAUCUCGUGCAGAGCACACUAGUGACUUAAUGAUGUACUAUCAGCCAAACAACUGUAUUCACCACCCAAGGCAAGACAAAGUGGUCAGCCCUACUGCUCCAGGUGCUUUGGCUUAAAGUAACCCAAGAAAUCAAUGAAGAAUCGUCAGCAAAGAAAUGACGCUGUCUGAUGUCUAACUUGAAGGUCCUGUGCUGUCUGCUCCAGCUGAACAAAGACUUCAGGAGAGAAGACGAGGGAAGCAAGGACACCGAGCAGUAAAACCAGCUGCAAAAGUAUUACUAACAAACUGUGCAAAAACCCAGACCCAGGAGACGCACAAUUGAGGAGAGCUGGUUUCUCUUGAACAUCUCCCUGCUUCUUGUCUCCGGAAGACGCCCGGCCCUGCUUCUUGUCUCCGGAAGACGCCUGGCCCUGUAACUGGUUGAGUUUCUUCCCCCCACUCACCACUAGAAAUACCGGAGCCAUUUAUGCACCAGCAAAUACGUAAAAAUGUCAUGUUGGGUCUUGUGCAAUGA
Mastomys coucha (southern multimammate mouse) is the source of this 576-nucleotide long non-coding RNA. RefSeq lists it as uncharacterized. NCBI's taxonomy places the organism in Eukaryota, Metazoa, Chordata, Mammalia, Rodentia, Muridae. The transcript has 3 exons. The record is from RefSeq and is a predicted model, not a curated record.